This is a non-coding RNA of Thunnus maccoyii (southern bluefin tuna), 709 nucleotides long. The record is from the annotation of a RefSeq genome assembly. Lineage: Eukaryota; Metazoa; Chordata; Actinopteri; Scombriformes; Scombridae.
CACAGUCUCUGUACAAAAACACAAGCUGACACACUGACAAGCUGCUGGAAGCCUUUUUUCCACACUGUUGUACUGAACUUUUUACCUCCACUAGAGGGCCACAUCAUCAAGUAGACGGUGCACUACUUCUGCACUGUGUUCAACCAUUCUGUCAAUAAUAACUGCUGCUGUGAAGAGAACAAUUCUCAGACUGAAUGUUGAACAUCAGAUAGUUUCUCCUGUUGAUUUAAACCUUGUUGUAGAGAUGGAACAUUGGCUGUGGAUUAUUCUUGCUGCUCUUUUCUUUGAGUGUAAAGGACAAGACAGCGUGACCCAGCCAACAGGAGAUGUCAUUGCUGCUGAAGGAGACACAGUUACACUUGGCUGUACAUUUAAGACCAGUGACACAAAUUCAUACUUAUUCUGGUACAAACAAGAAGUAAAUGAUUUCCCAAAGUUUAUGCUGCGGCGUUACAUGUCUGGAGGAGGAGAUAAUGCUGCAGAGUUCCAGAAAGACAGAUUUGAUGCUACAUUGAACAAAACAUCAGUUCCUCUGAAGAUCCAGAAGCUGCAGCUGUCUGACUCUGCUGUGUACUACUGUGCUCUGUUGAGCUGGGAUCCAAUAUCAGCUGCAGUACUUAGACUGUCUUUUAAUGUGAGUGAAGAUAAAAUCCAUCUGCAGAUCUCCUCUGCUGCAGUGACAGACUCUGCUCUGUACUACUGUGCUGUG